GGUUAACCGAAUAGGGAAGCCGUAGAGAAAUCGAGUCCGAAUAGGGCGAAUAGUCGCUGGGUGUAGACCCGAAACCAAGUGAUCUAUCCAUGGCCAGGAUGAAGGUACCGUAACAGGUGCUGGAGGUCCGAACCGACUAGUGUUGCAAAACUAGCGGAUGAGCUGUGGAUAGGGGUGAAAGGCUAAACAAACUUGGAAAUAGCUGGUUCUCUCCGAAAACUAUUUAGGUAGUGCCUCAAGUAUUACCUGCGGGGGUAGAGCACUGUUUCG
RNAcentral lists this ribosomal RNA (270 nucleotides) under Klebsiella pneumoniae. RNAcentral's name for it is "partial 23S ribosomal RNA". It matches the Rfam family "Bacterial large subunit ribosomal RNA", at positions 644 to 917 of the family's 2925-position model. Lineage: Bacteria; Pseudomonadati; Pseudomonadota; Gammaproteobacteria; Enterobacterales; Enterobacteriaceae. The record is from RNAcentral.